This is a long non-coding RNA of Mastomys coucha (southern multimammate mouse), 534 nucleotides long. RefSeq lists it as uncharacterized. The record is from RefSeq and is a predicted model, not a curated record. The transcript is spliced from 3 exons. NCBI's taxonomy places the organism in Eukaryota, Metazoa, Chordata, Mammalia, Rodentia, Muridae.
CUUUAGGGGUGAGGAGUUGAAGACCUCAGGUGUGGCUCACUUCUCACAUCUUCCUUCAGUUGUGUCCUUCAGUGCUGUUGCUGGAAAUUUUAGUGAAAUGUGGCUCUGCCUUGAACGAGAAAGUCCCAGGAUUGAUGUGUGAGUGAAGAAGCCCUCGUAAGCACCCUGUGAUGAAGAAACCCAGAAAGGCCCGCAGUUGAACAGACACUCAAGGACAAAUCCGUGCUACACCCAGGUACUAUAAACGGUGUGCUACCACUUAAAGGUUGGAAGAUCCCUGGAACUGGAACUACAGAUAGUGGUGAACCACCAUGGAGGAGCUGAGACCUGCUCCGAGACCUGCCCUCAGUUCCCUGCAACAGCAGCAAGCACUCUUAACUGGCGAACCCAUCUCUCUGUUCCUGACUUUCUUUUUUCCUCUUUAAGCACACUAACUAUAUCUACUGAUUUCUGGCCUCUAAAAUUCCUAAUGAGGCUUCUGAUUAUAAUGUCACUGAGGAUUCUUUGUGUGUAAAUAAAAUCCUUUGGAUCUAA